GGUCAUCGCGCUUGGUUG
RNAcentral lists this small RNA (18 nucleotides) under Arabidopsis thaliana (thale cress). Its description in RNAcentral is "Ath_wt_15203". The record is from RNAcentral. Lineage: Eukaryota; Viridiplantae; Streptophyta; Magnoliopsida; Brassicales; Brassicaceae.